CGAGCUGGGUUCAGAACGUCGUGAGACAGUUCGGUCCCUAUCCGUCGCGGGCGCAGGAAAUUUGAGAGGAGUUGCCCUUAGUACGAGAGGACCGGGGUGAACAAACCGCUGGUGUACCAGUUGUUCCGCCAGGAGCAUCGCUGGGUAGCUAUGUUUGGAUGAGAUAAACGCUGAAAGCAUCUAAGUGUGAAACUCGCCUCGAGAUGAGAUUUCCCAUUCUUUAUGAAGUAAGACCCCUUAGAGAUGAUGAGGUAGAUAGGCUAGAAGUGGAAGUUGAGUGAUCAAUGGAGCGGACUAGUACUAAUAGGUCGA
This 312-nucleotide ribosomal RNA is filed under the name Prorocentrum minimum. RNAcentral's name for it is "partial Bacterial large subunit ribosomal RNA". It matches the Rfam family "Bacterial large subunit ribosomal RNA", at positions 2601 to 2912 of the family's 2925-position model. Lineage: Eukaryota; Dinophyceae; Prorocentrales; Prorocentraceae. The record is from RNAcentral.